CAGCAGCCCGGGAAUACGUAGGGUGCAAGCGUUAAUCGGAAUUACUGGGCGUAAAGCGUGCGCAGGCGGUUUGUUAAGACAGAUGUGAAAUCCCCGGGCUCAACCUGGGAACUGCAUUUGUGACUGGCAAGCUAGAGUGUGGCAGAGGGGGGUGGAAUUCCGCGUGUAGCAGUGAAAUGCGUAGAUAUGCGGAGGAACACCGAUGGCGAAGGCAGCCCCCUGGGCCAACACUGACGCUCAUGCACGAAAGCGUGGGGAGCAAACAGGAUUAGAUACCCGAGUAGUCCCUGUCUCUUAUACA
RNAcentral lists this ribosomal RNA (301 nucleotides) under uncultured bacterium. RNAcentral's name for it is "partial 16S ribosomal RNA". It matches the Rfam family "Bacterial small subunit ribosomal RNA", at positions 509 to 808 of the family's 1533-position model. The record is from RNAcentral.